UGUUUAUAAUCUCAUCUACUUGUACUAUUAAAAAUUGGCGUGGUUGACGAAAUUACCAAAUAGUGAUAUGUAGCAUGCCACAUGUACAUCAUGCUGAUGUACAGGGAUCAACUUUGAAGAGUGGAAAUGAAUAAAAUUUUCAACA
Molecule: microRNA precursor, 145 nt
Filed under: Gossypium hirsutum (cotton)
Lineage: Eukaryota; Viridiplantae; Streptophyta; Magnoliopsida; Malvales; Malvaceae
Also listed under: 1 other name
Description: MIR7502 microRNA precursor family
Rfam family: MIR7502 microRNA precursor family
Source: Rfam by way of RNAcentral